Molecule: long non-coding RNA, 528 nt
Organism: Propithecus coquereli (Coquerel's sifaka)
Lineage: Eukaryota; Metazoa; Chordata; Mammalia; Primates; Indriidae
Exons: 3
Source: RefSeq, a predicted model, not a curated record
UUUCCCUGCAGACGUCUGACGUCUUCGUCUGUUUCAAGCGUGCUCGCCAACUGCUCGCUGAAGCGUUUUCGGAUGGCGGCUUUGCGGUGCUCGUGAGGUAUGAACAACUGGCCCAAUAUUUCAAGAUCUCACACCCCAAACAAUCCCCUGUAUCUGUUAUACACUGGACAGCGGCCACAAACCACAAAAGAUAUUGGACUAUCACGGUCUGGCACUUGUACGCCUCUACGAAGUCGUGGUUCCCCACCGCGUACGUGCACCUGGAAAAGAAACGUGGAGGCUGAGAGCCAGGGCGUCAGAAAGCGCAGACCUGAUAACCCAGACAUCGUUACGCAGACUGCACGGCUCACUUCAGCCCAGCCGCCCCAGGUCCCAGCUGAUCCCGGAACGGAAGCUGGAAACUCCCGCCCGGCAAGAGACAAAGGGUCAAGGCAGAAGUAACAAACGACUAUAUGAACCGAAUCAGAUUACCUUAAAUGAGCUGCGAACAUCUCAUCGUAAGGGGGCUCCAAAACUUGCUGACACUUC